AUGCCGGGCACUUUAAGGAAACUGCCAGUGAUAAACUGGAGGAAGGUGGGGAUGAUGUCAAGUCAGCACGGCCCUUAUGGGGUGGGCUACACACGUGCUACAAUGGCGACUACAAUAGGUUGCAACGUCGCAAGGCUGAGCUAAUCCGUAAAAGUCGUCUCAGUUCGGAUUGUCCUCUGUAACUCGAGGGCAUGAAGUCGGAAUCGCUAGUAAUCGUGGAUCAGCAUGCCACGGUGAAUACGUUCUCGGGUCUUGUACACACUGCCCGUCACGCCAUGGGAAUUGGCUUAA
RNAcentral lists this ribosomal RNA (291 nucleotides) under uncultured Anaplasma sp. RNAcentral's name for it is "partial 16S ribosomal RNA". It matches the Rfam family "Bacterial small subunit ribosomal RNA", at positions 1128 to 1419 of the family's 1533-position model. Lineage: Bacteria; Pseudomonadati; Pseudomonadota; Alphaproteobacteria; Rickettsiales; Anaplasmataceae. The record is from RNAcentral.